GCUUAGAGAGGGGUCAAUGUCCUAUCAGCUAGUUGGUAAGGUAAUGGCUUACCAAGGCUAAGACGGGUAGCCGGCCUGAGAGGGUGGUCGGCCACACUGGGACUGAGACACUGCCCAGACUCCUACGGGAGGCUGCAGUCGAGAAUCUUUCGCAAUGCCCGAAAGGGUGACGAAGCGACGCCGCGUGUGGGAAGAAGGCCUUCGGGUUGUAAACCACUGUCGGGAGUUAAGAAAUGUAAGGGUGUUAAUAGCAUCCUUGCUUGACUAAGGCUCCGGAGGAAGCCACGGCUAACUCUGUGCCAGCAGCCGCGGUAAUACAGAGGCGGCAAGCGUUGUUCGGAAUUAUUGGGCGUAAAGAGCACGUAGGCGACUUUGUAAGUCAGUUGUGAAAGCCUUCUGCUUAACGGAAGAACAGCAUCUGAUACUGCAAGGCUAGAGUACGGAAGGG
Molecule: ribosomal RNA, 448 nt
Filed under: uncultured Planctomycetota bacterium
Lineage: Bacteria; Pseudomonadati; Planctomycetota
Description: bacterial SSU rRNA
Rfam family: Bacterial small subunit ribosomal RNA
Source: RNAcentral